CCCCACUGCUAUCGAGGUGGGACUAAGCCAUGCUAGUCGAACGACCCGGACUAUGGCGGGGAGUGGCAGACUGCUCAGUAGCACGUAGCUAACCUACCCUCGGGACGGGGAUAACCCCGGGAAACUGGGGCUAAUACCCGAUAGGUGUGGAUUCCUGGAAUGGUGCCAUGCCUAAACGUAAGCACAUCCAUGUUUGUGUGCACGCCCGAGGAUGGGGCUGCGGCCGAUCAGGCAGUUGGUGAGGUAACGGCUCACCAAACCUUUGACCGGUACAGGCCAUGAGAGUGGUAGCCCGGAGAUGGGCACUGAGACAAGGGCCCAGGCCCUACGGGGCGCAGCAGGCGCGAAACCUCCACAAUUCACGAAAGUGAGAUGGGGUUACCUCGAGUGCCGUCUGAAGAAGGCGGCUUUUCCAUGGUGUAACAAGCCGUGGGAAUAAGGGGGGGGCAAGACUGGUGUCAGCCGCCGCGGUAACACCAGCCCCCCGAGUGGUGGGGAUGAUUAUUUGGCCUAAAGCGUCCGUAGCCGGCUUUGUAAAUCUCUCGUUAAAUCCAGCGUCCUAAGCGUUGGGCUGCGAGAGACACUGCAGAGCUAGAGGGUGGGAGAGGUCAGCGGUAUUCCUGGGGUAGGGGCGAAAUCCAUUGAUCCCAGGAGGACCACCAGUGGCGAAGGCUGCUGUCCAGAACACGCCUGACGGUCAGGGACGAAAGCUGGGGUAGCGAAUCGGAUUAGAUACCCGAGUAGUCCCAGCCGUAAACGAUGCAGGCUAGGUGUUGGGUCGGCCACGCGCCGCCUCAGUGCCACAGGGAAGCCAUUAAGCCUGCCGCCUGGGGAGUACGGCCGCAAGGCUGAAACUUAAAGGAAUUGGCGGGGGAGCACCACCAGGCGUGAAGCCUGCGGUUU
Molecule: ribosomal RNA, 903 nt
Filed under: uncultured archaeon
Lineage: Archaea
Description: bacterial SSU rRNA
Rfam family: Archaeal small subunit ribosomal RNA
Source: RNAcentral